RNAcentral lists this small nuclear RNA (195 nucleotides) under Sciurus vulgaris (Eurasian red squirrel). Its description in RNAcentral is "U4 spliceosomal RNA (ENSSVLG00005021270.1)". The stretch from base 1 to 81 matches the Rfam family "U4 spliceosomal RNA". The record is from RNAcentral. Lineage: Eukaryota; Metazoa; Chordata; Mammalia; Rodentia; Sciuridae.
AGUUUUGCACAGUGGCAGUAUCGUAGCCAAUGAGGUUUAUCCGAGGAGCGAUUAUUGCUAAUUGGAAAAAAAAAAAAAAGAAUUUGCCUUGAGUAACACCACACAUUCCUGCUACAGGUUCUCAAUACUUCAUCCCCCAGACAAAUUCUGAAUCUAAAGAGCAGUGACCAUGAAAUUUUUUUUCAUAAUUAUUUG